This 71-nucleotide non-coding RNA is filed under the name uncultured Agathobaculum sp. Its description in RNAcentral is "Fluoride riboswitch". It matches the Rfam family "Fluoride riboswitch aptamer (crcB RNA motif)", at positions 4 to 60 of the family's 64-position model. The record is from RNAcentral. Lineage: Bacteria; Bacillati; Bacillota; Clostridia; Eubacteriales; Butyricicoccaceae.
ACAAAAGGGAAUGAAGUUCUCCCUUGGCGCAUACUGCCUGAACCGCUUGAAAAAGCUGAUGACUUCUGCAC